RNAcentral lists this ribosomal RNA (425 nucleotides) under uncultured bacterium. RNAcentral describes it as "partial 16S ribosomal RNA". It matches the Rfam family "Bacterial small subunit ribosomal RNA", at positions 354 to 796 of the family's 1533-position model. The record is from RNAcentral.
GUUAGGAAUAUUGGACAAUGGGCGCAAGCCUGAUCCAGCCAUGCCGCGUGAACGAUGAAGGCCUUCGGGUUGUAAAGUUCUUUAGCCGAUGAUUAUAAUGACUGUAGUCGGAAAAUAAGCCCCGGCUAACUUCGUGCCAGCAGCCGCGGUAAUACGAAGGGGGCGAGCGUUAUUCGGAAUCACUGGGCGUAAAGCGUGCGUAGGCGGUCUCGUAAGUUAGGAGUGAAAGCCCAGGGCUCAACCUUGGAAUUGCUCUUAAAACUGCAAGGCUAGAAUCUCGGAGAGGAUAGCGGAAUUUCCAGUGUAGCAGUGAAAUGCGUAGAUAUUGGAAGGAACACCAGUGGCGUAAGCGGCUAUCUGGACGAGUAUUGACGCUGAGGCACGAAAGCGUGGGGAUCAAACAGGAUUAGAAACCCCGGUAGUCC